Molecule: long non-coding RNA, 273 nt
Filed under: Ananas comosus (pineapple)
Lineage: Eukaryota; Viridiplantae; Streptophyta; Magnoliopsida; Poales; Bromeliaceae
Description: long non-coding RNA (ACOM_LNC029253)
Source: RNAcentral
CUAAAUCAUAAAAUAAAUUUACGUACCACCUUCUUAACACCUAAUAUCUGUAUAGCUCAAAUUAUAAAAAUUGCCACAACACCACCGACACAAUGUAACUUCUACAUCUGUUAAAUGCUAUUUUGUAUGCAUAAAGUCUGAAUAAGUUUUGAAUGAGUCAUAUAUUCUUUCUUAUAAGCAUAAAUUAAUAGAUAAAACAUAUACAAUCUCCAUCCAAGUACAUUUGCUUCUACUAUGACAAAAUACUUUCAUAGAUUUUUUAAAUAAAAAUAC